Molecule: long non-coding RNA, 2277 nt
Organism: Oncorhynchus tshawytscha (Chinook salmon)
Lineage: Eukaryota; Metazoa; Chordata; Actinopteri; Salmoniformes; Salmonidae
Source: Ensembl
GUGCGCCUUCCUUUAAGCACCUCUGUUCGAACGCCUAUCCUGUCCUUAAUCCAUACCACAUACAGCCAUUUGCGGAUCUUUUCAGUGUCCAUGUGAAAGAUAGUUAUUGCGAGGAUGGAACAUUUGUUGACAAAAAAAUAAAUAAAUUGUUAACACCCAUGUAAAAUGAAGCUUACAGAUUUAAGUCUAAUAGCAUGAGAUGAAAGUAGACAAACAUCAGAGUGUGCGAUAUUAAGGUAUAGUCAGUGGACAUUCUGAACCUUGUUUGAGGUCAGUAGGUCACAUGACCAAGGAGCUAUUGAAAUUCUACAUUUUGAAGAAUUCAUGUAAAACCAUGUGAGAUGAAAAUUGACAAACUAAAGGGUGUGCAAUGUGCAGGGCCACUGAGUGGACAUUCUGAACCUUGUUUGAAGUCACUAGGUCACAUGACCAAGGAGCUAUUGAAAUUCUACAUUUUGGAAAAAUUCAUGUAAAACCAUAUGAGAUGAAAAUGGACAAACUAAAGGGCGUGCAAUAUAGAAGGGUAGUCAGUGGACAUUCUGAAUGUAAAAUGUAAAAAAAAGUUUGUACUUUGUUUACGCUCCCUAACUAAUUCAAUUUAGGAAUACAAAAUGUUGCUCACAUUUCCACGUUUAUUAGCUUUGGAAAGCGAAUUAAUGUCCAAAUCGUGAAAAUAAAACCUGUGCAAUGUUGUGCACAUUUUUUUUUCAACAUCAUGACACUUAUUUGGAGUCUGUGGCUCAAGUGGUUUGAAAGCGCGAAUAUCCUAUUUGUCUUUACCUCGGUUGUCAUUGGAUCCUGAGGACAAACAUCCUUCUGCAUCAAGGUCCUUUCUCAUGUUCAGACAGACUAUAUCCCACUACCUAAACUUGCGGUCAGCCUACAGCUAAUUCAUCCCUGCAACAGACUGAGCUGACCACCAUGCACUCUGAGGAUGGAUCUACGGUCGACGACAUCUUCUACUCCAAGGCUGGGCAAUUCUGGUGGAGGUCAACGGCAGAGCGGAGGUUUGAAGCUGCUUGGUCGUCUCUCCCCCCAAUUAGAGGAGGAUCUCUGGUCAAUGAAAGGUUUACCCAAUUAAUUGUUCCCUUCGGACCAUCUCAGUCUCCUGGCCAGGUUCCAGCUGGACUGAAACCCUGUGUAAUUUGGGCUGUUUGUGAUCAAUUAAUAAUCAGGAGGACCGAGGUCAAGUAUUUAAAAAUGUUUGUUCAAACUGUACAUGAUUUUCCCAUGGUGUGAUUCCAUGUUUUAUAAGUUCAUAAUUGUACUUAAUUGGUUCCUUGGGCUCACAUGGUUGUUUCCUACCUGAAGAGAAACUACUCAUCCCAAGGUCCAGAGGGGAUGGGAUGUCCUCUGAAGAAUUGUUUUUGUUUACAUGAAGAGAGAGCAAAACAAACCAAAAAGGUUGAAUUUAGUUCAAAGUUGGAAUUUAUUUGACAAAUUCUCUUACUGUUGAGAUUUGAAUGCAUGAAGCUUUUAGAUUUUAAAAGUUAAUAUUUUGUGAACAAACUGAGUAAACAAUCUGCUACACUAGUAAAUUAGAACAUUUAAAUCUUUACAAACUGUGUUUGAUGCGUUUUGUCCCUCUGGCUUUGGGCCAGUCGUAGUAUUAUUUUUCAAAUGAUAGAAAUAUUGAAUUCAUAUUUUCCAUAUACCAAUAUCAGUUUGGCAGUAUUUUGGGAAGAUCUACAUCCUGUCUUGCCUGGCUGAGAUGGUGUUAAUCCGUGACAAGGACUGACGAGUUGUGCGUUCCGAGAUGCUGUUCUGCACACCACUUAUGUACUGCGCCAUUAUUUGCCUGUUUGUGGCCCACCUGUUAGCUUGCACAAUUCUUGCCAUUCUCCAAUUUUUUUGUUGGUCGCACCAUUCUCGGUAAACCCUAGACAAUGUCGUGCAUGAAAACCCCAGGAGGCUAGCCGUUUCUGAGAUACUGGAACAGAUGCGCCUGGCACCGACGAGCAUACCACGCUCAAAGUCGCUGAGGUCACUUGUUUUGCCCAUCCUAACGUUCAGUAGAACAGUAACUGAAUGCCUCAAUGCCUGUCUGCUUUUUUAUAGCAGGCCACGUGACUCACUGUCUGUAGGCGCAAACCAUUUUUGUGUACCUAAUAAACUGGCCACAGUGUAUAUUUCCACACUAUGAGGUUGGAAUAAUACUGUGAAAAUGAUAAUGCCCUUUUAGUGUAAGAGCUGAAAUGUCAGCCUGUUUAGAUGGGAUGGAGUUUCGGCCUGCCUGGUGACAUCACCAUGCUGUAAAUUAGAUAAUACAUAGACCAU